UUACAUGGAUAACCGUGACAAAUUACAGCUAAUACAUGCAGUCAGACCCUGUCCAGGGUUGUAAUUAUUAGUAUUAAACCAAUUCCUUCGGGAGUGUGAUGAAUCAUAGUAAUCGAACGAAUCUCAGAGUUCUGAGAUAAGUCAUUCAAGUUUCUGCCCUAUCAGCUUUGGAUGGUAGUGUAUUGGACUACCAUGGCAGUCACGGGUAACGGAGAAUUAGGGUUCGAUUCCGGAGAGGGAGCCUGAGAAACGGCUACCACAUCUAUGGAAGGCAGCAGGCGCGAAAAUUGCCCAAUCCUGAUUCAGGGAGGCAGUGACAAGAAAUAACAACUCUCGACUUUGUUGAGAAGUGUAAUGAGGAUAAUUUACAAACCUUACCGAAAGCAAUUGGAGGGCAAGUCUGGUGCCAGCAGCCGCGGUAAUUCCAGCUCCAAUAGCGUAUAUUAAAGUUGUUGCAGUUAAAAAGCUCGUAGUUGAAGUUCUGAUUGCUCAGGCUCUCAGCCUAAGGCGGGAGUUCUGACAGUCAUCCGCUUGCAAGCAUAUGUUCGGCCUUAAACAGUUGGCUAUGUGAGUAAGCAUUUUACCUUGAGAAAAACAGAGUGUUCCAGGCAGGUUUGUCCGGGAUGCAUUAGCAUGGAAUAAUAGAACAUGACUGAAGUCUAUUUAUUGGUUUAAGGCUUUAGUAAUGAUUAAUAGGAACAGUCGGGGGCAUUCGUACUCAGCAGUCAGAGGUGAAAUUCUAAGAUUUGCUGAAGACGAACUAAUGCGAAAGCAUUUGCCAAGGAUGUUUUCAUUAAUCAAGAACGAAAGUUAGGGGAUCAAAGACGAUCAGAUACCGUCCUAGUCUUAACUAUAAACGAUACCGACUCGGAUUCAGAUGAAUAUUAAAGUUCAUUUGGGACCGUAGGAGAAAUCAAAGUCUUUGGGUUCUGGGGGGAGUAUGGUCGCAAGGCUGAAACUUAAAGGAAUUGACGGUUUUGCACCACCAUGGAGUGGAGCCUGCGGCUUAAUUUGACUCAACACUGGGAAACUCAUCAGGGCAAGAAGAUUUUAGGAUUGACAGAUUGAGAGUUCUUUCUUGAUUGGUCUAGUGGUGGUGCAUGGCCGUUCUUAGUUGGUGGAGUGAUUUGUCUGGUUAAUUCCGUUAACGAACGAGACCUUAACCUGCUAACUAGUACUGCGUUCUUAAUCGUUGUUACUUCUUAGAGGGACUAUGUGAUGUAAUCACAUGGAAGUUUGAGGCAAUAACAGGUCUGUGAUGCCCUUAGAUGUCCUGAGCUGCACGCGCGCUACAAUGACACAUUCAGCAAGUACCUCCUGAUCCGAAAGGAUUUGGGUAAUCUUUUUAGUGUGUGUCGUGAUAGGGAUAGAUCUUUGUAAUUAUGGAUCUUGAACGAGGAAUUCCUAGUAAGCACAAGUCAUCAGCUUGUGCUGAUUACGUCCCUGCAAAAUGUACACACCGCCCGUCGCUUUUACCGAUCGAGUGUUCAGGUGAACCUUCUUGAUAGCGAUUACGCU
This 1518-nucleotide ribosomal RNA is filed under the name uncultured eukaryote. RNAcentral's name for it is "SSU rRNA". It matches the Rfam family "Eukaryotic small subunit ribosomal RNA", at positions 135 to 1727 of the family's 1831-position model. The record is from RNAcentral.